RNAcentral lists this ribosomal RNA (398 nucleotides) under uncultured bacterium. RNAcentral's name for it is "partial 16S ribosomal RNA". It matches the Rfam family "Bacterial small subunit ribosomal RNA", at positions 523 to 918 of the family's 1533-position model. The record is from RNAcentral.
AUACGUAGGGUGCGAGCGUUGUCCGGAAUUACUGGGCGUAAAGAGCUCGUAGGUGGUUUGUCGCGUCGUCUGUGAAAUUCCGGGGCUUAACUCCGGGCGUGCAGGCGAUACGGGCAUAACUUGAGUACUGUAGGGGAGACUGGAAUUCCUGGUGUAGCGGUGAAAUGCGCAGAUAUUAGGAGGAACACCGGUGGCGAAGGCGGGUCUCUGGGCAGUAACUUACGCUGAGGAGCGAAAGCAUGGGUAGCGAACAGGAUUAGAUACCCUGGUGGUCCAUGCCGUAAACGGUGGGCGCUAGGUGUAGGGGGCUUCCUCGACUUCUGUGCCGUAGCUAACGCAUUAAGCGCCCCGCCUGGGGAGUACGGCCGCAAGGCUAAAACUCAAAUGAAUUGACGGGG